Molecule: long non-coding RNA, 738 nt
Filed under: Capsella rubella
Lineage: Eukaryota; Viridiplantae; Streptophyta; Magnoliopsida; Brassicales; Brassicaceae
Description: long non-coding RNA (CRUB_LNC004267)
Source: RNAcentral
AUGCAUCAUAAAAAUUUUAACCAAAACAAAGGACCAUAUCUCAAUAGAUUUUUAAUUUAUUAAUCAUAAAUACUUACUACUGAAGAGAAGAUUGUGUCAACAAUCCAAAUCUCGUCCAAAGCAAAUAUCCAAAAUGCAGAGUCCUCAAACAAGCAGAUGAAAUUAGCUGCUUAAUAAUCUUUCUUGUGAGUUGGUGAUGUGUGUCUCGUCAUUUCUUCCCAUCGAUCUGAACAUUUCUACAAAAUGUGUGUUGUCCAAAAUCAUUACGCACACAAGAGAGAGAUCCAACAUAAUAAGAUGCAAAAAAUUAGAGUUUGGUAACAUAUCAUCAAGAAAAUUAGGAGCUCACACAAUCUCUCAACCUUGAUUUCAGCGGAAAUUUUUUUCUCUCACCAAAGAUAGAAAAUAUUAAAAACCUUUACUCAAAAUUUUAGAGUAGUUCUUAGCUUAAAAUCACUACUUGUGGUCUCUUCUACGCCCACCCCUCAUACUAACAAAAAAACAUGCAACAAAGACCCGACUUACCCUAGAAAACACUAAGGAAUUAUAAAUUACAUCUUCUUUAAAAGAAAUCCAGCCAUUAUGUCGGUCAUCUCAAAAAAAAACUUUAUAGAUCUGAUUUGGAUAUCACGAGAGCAUCCAAUUCUAGAUCUGCAAAAUGAUGUUGCAAAAUUUGAGAUAGUAGAAGAUCAAAUCACUACCUGUAAUUCACCAUAUGUUGUGGGUACCUUUUCAAAA